UGCCCUCGUAGUGUAAUGGAUCACACGCAAGAUUCCGGUUCUUGAAAUGGGGGUUCGAUUCCCUCCGAGGGUAUCC
This 76-nucleotide transfer RNA is filed under the name Planococcus massiliensis. Its description in RNAcentral is "tRNA-Arg". It matches the Rfam family "tRNA". Rfam says of the family: Transfer RNA (tRNA) molecules are approximately 80 nucleotides in length. Lineage: Bacteria; Bacillati; Bacillota; Bacilli; Caryophanales; Caryophanaceae. RNAcentral also lists the same sequence under 1 other name. The record is from RNAcentral.